This 309-nucleotide ribosomal RNA is filed under the name uncultured Planctomycetota bacterium. RNAcentral's name for it is "bacterial SSU rRNA". It matches the Rfam family "Bacterial small subunit ribosomal RNA", at positions 29 to 351 of the family's 1533-position model. Lineage: Bacteria; Pseudomonadati; Planctomycetota. The record is from RNAcentral.
AAUGAACGUUGGCGGCAUGGAUUAGGCAUGCAAGUCGAGCGAGAAGUUCACCUUCGGGUGAACGGAAAGCGGCGAAAGGGAGAGUAACGCGUAGUUAUCUACCCCGAGGCCGGAAUAGCCCGCCGAAAGGCGGGGUAAUGCCGGAUAAUAUCCCCGGAUCAAAGGUGCGAUUCCGCCUUGGGAGGAGACUGCGUUGUACUAGCUAGUUGGUAGGGUAAUGGCCUACCAAGGCGAUGAUGCAUAGCGGGCGUGAGAGCGUGGCCCGUCUCACUGGGACUGAGACACUGCCCAGACACCUACGGGUGGCAG